RNAcentral lists this microRNA precursor (103 nucleotides) under Marmota monax (woodchuck). Lineage: Eukaryota; Metazoa; Chordata; Mammalia; Rodentia; Sciuridae. The record is from RNAcentral.
ACCACAAUUGCUGAACCAUAUGGUUAAAGUAUGUUUAAUUUUGUAAAAAACUACCAAAGUGUCUCCCAAAGUGGCUAUACUCCUUUGCAUUUCCACCAGCAGU